This 226-nucleotide unclassified non-coding RNA is filed under the name Hevea brasiliensis (rubber tree). The record is from RNAcentral. Lineage: Eukaryota; Viridiplantae; Streptophyta; Magnoliopsida; Malpighiales; Euphorbiaceae.
GAAAAUUGGUAGCGGUUCUUUUGGGGAGAUCUACCUCGGUGGUAAUGUUCAAACUAAUGAAGAGGUUGCUAUCAAGCUGGAAAAUGUGAAAACAAAGCAUCCUCAACUGUUGUACGAAGCAAAGCUGUAUAAAAUACUACAAGGAGGAACUGGAAUCCCCAAUUUAAAAUGGUUUGGAGUUGAAGGAGAUUACAAUGUCCUUGUGAUGGAUUUACUGGGACCUAGU